Molecule: long non-coding RNA, 683 nt
Filed under: Myripristis murdjan (pinecone soldierfish)
Lineage: Eukaryota; Metazoa; Chordata; Actinopteri; Holocentriformes; Holocentridae
Description: lncRNA (ENSMMDG00005006338.1)
Source: RNAcentral
AUGUCCAAACAGAAGGCUUGUGGUAAGACGCUGAUCAUCGCAGACGAUGAGGAGGCAGAAGCAGACGAGGCAGACCUGAACCCGUUUUCAUACCGAGAGUUCCUCCGCUGGAAGAACCUGGAGCCCACAGACAGACAGGAGGAAGAGGAGGAGGAUGAAGGCUGGGAGCGGAGCUGCCAGUCAGCCACAGCAGACAGCACCUCCUCCCUCUGCACCGAGGAGGAGGAGGAGGAGACGAGGUUCUCCUCGCAGCCUGAGGCCCGGCAGGGAGGAGGAGGAGGAGGAGGAGGAGGAGGAGCAGGAGGGGAGGGGGAGAACUACGAGGGCGAUGAUGAGACGUCCAUGGCCGAGCCGCUCGCCUCCUGCAGGAAGAGGAGCAGCAGGAGCAGCCAGCUGCAGCAGCUGAAGGAGGAGAACGUGGUUUUGAGGAGAACCAUCAGGGAGCUGCAGAAGAAAUUAGACACUAACGAGCAAAGGGUGGGGCAGCUGUCAGAGGAGCUGGUGCAGAGGAGGCGUCAGGAGGAGAAGGAGGCGCAGGACCUGGAGAGCAUGGUGCACUCUGUGGAGCAGAACCUGCACCUGAUGACCGUACGCUGCCUUCACUGCCCGCUGCCUUCACUGCCCGCUGCCUUCACUGCCCGCUGCCUUCACUGCCCGCGUUGCCUUCACUGCCCGCUGCCUUC